UAGGGAAUCUUCCGCAAUGGGCGAAGGCCUGACGGAGCAACGCCGCGUGAGUGAUGAAGGUCUUCGGAUCGUAAAACUCUGUUAUUAGGGAAGAACAAAUGUGUAAGUAACUAUGCACGUCUUGACGGUACCUAAUCAGAAAGCCACGGCUAACUACGUGCCAGCAGCCGCGGUAAUACGUAGGUGGCAAGCGUUAUCCGGAAUUAUUGGGCGUAAAGCGCGCGUAGGCGGUUUUUUAAGUCUGAUGUGAAAGCCCACGGCUCAACCGUGGAGGGUCAUUGGAAACUGGAAAACUUGAGUGCAGAAGAGGAAAGUGGAAUUCCAUGUGUAGCGGUGAAAUGCGCAGAGAUAUGGAGGAACACCAGUGGCGAAGGCGACUUUCUGGUCUGUAACUGACGCUGAUGUGCGAAAGCGUGGGGAUCAAACAGG
Molecule: ribosomal RNA, 429 nt
Filed under: Actinomycetes bacterium
Lineage: Bacteria; Bacillati; Actinomycetota; Actinomycetes
Description: Actinobacteria bacterium partial 16S ribosomal RNA
Rfam family: Bacterial small subunit ribosomal RNA
Source: RNAcentral